GAUGAACGCUGGCGGCGUGCCUAAUACAUGCAAGUCGAGCGAAAAGACGAGGAGCUUGCUCCUCUGACGUUAGCGGCGGACGGGUGAGUAACAUGAGGAUAACCUACCUAUAAGACUGGGAUAACUUCGGGAAACCGGAGCUAAUACCGGAUAAUAUAUUGAACCGCAUGGUUCAAUAGUGAAAGACGGUUUUGCUGUCACUUAUAGAUGGAUCCGCGCGGCAUUAGCUGGUUGGUAAGGUAACGGCUUACCAAGGCAACGAUGCGUAGCCGACCUGAGAGGGUGAUCGGCCACACUGGAACUGAGCCACGGUCCAGACUCCUACGGGAGGCAGCAGUAGGGAAUCUUCCGCAAUGGGCGAAAGCCUGACGGAGCAGCGCCGCGUGAGUGAUGAAAGUCUUCGGAUCGUAAGACUCUGUUAUGAGUGAAGAACAAAUGUGUAAGUAACUAUGCACGUCUUGACGGUACCUAAUCAGAAAGCCACGGCUAACUACGUG
RNAcentral lists this ribosomal RNA (497 nucleotides) under uncultured bacterium. RNAcentral's name for it is "partial 16S ribosomal RNA". It matches the Rfam family "Bacterial small subunit ribosomal RNA", at positions 28 to 507 of the family's 1533-position model. The record is from RNAcentral.